AGAGUUUGAUCAUGGCUCAGAUUGAGCGGGGGGGACAUGCAUUACACAUGCAUGUCGAACAGAAGAGCGGGGUGCACUGGAUACGAGCGGCGGACGGGUGAGUAAUGCUUAGGAAUCUGCCAUUUAGUGGGGGACAACAUUCCGAAAGGAAUGCUAAUACCGCAUACGUCCUACGGGAGAAAGCAGGGGAUCUUCGGACCUUGCGCUAAAUGAUGAGCCUAAGUCGGAUUAGCUAGUUGGUGGGGUAAAGGCCUACCAAGGCGACGAUCUGUAGCGGGUCUGAGAGGAUGAUCCGCCACACUGGGACUGAGACACGGCCCAGACUCCUACGGGAGGCAGCAGUGGGGAAUAUUGGACAAUGGGCGGAAGCCUGAUCCAGCCAUGCCGCGUGUGUGGAGAAGGCCUUUUGGUUGUAAAGCACUUUAAGCGAGGAGGAGGCUACUAGUACUAAUACUACUGGAUAGUGGACGUUACUCGCAGAAUAAGCACCGGCUAACUCUGUGCCAGCAGCCGCGGUAAUACAGAGGGUGCGAGCGUUAAUCGGAUUUACUGGGCGUAAAGCGUGCGUAGGCGGCUGAUUAAGUCGGAUGUGAAAUCCCUGAGCUUAACUUAGGAAUUGCAUUCGAUACUGGUCAGCUAGAGUAUGGGAGAGGAUGGUAGAAUUCCAGGUGUAGCGGUGAAAUGCGUAGAGAUCUGGAGGAAUACCGAUGGCGAAGGCAGCCAUCUGGCCUAAUACUGACGCUGAGGUACGAAAGCAUGGGGAGCAAACAGGAUUAGAUACCCUGGUAGUCCACGCCGUAAACGAUGGAUACUAGGUGUGGGAGGUAUCAACUCCUUCCGUGCCGCCGUAAACACAUUAAGUAUCCCGCCUGGGGAGUACGGUCGCAAGAUUAAAACUCAAAGGAAUUGACGGGGACCCGCACAAGCAGCGGAGCAUGUGGUUUAAUUCGAAGCAGCGCGAAGAACCUUACCUAGACUUGACAUCUCCUGAAUUACCCUUAAUCGGGGAAGUCCCUUCGGGGACAGGAAGACAGGUGGUGCAUGGUUGUCGUCAGCUCGUGUCGUGAGAUGUUGGGUUAAGUCCCGCAACGAGCGCAACCCUUAUUGUUAGUUGCUACCAUUUAGUUGAGCACUCUAGCGAGACUGCCCGGGUUAACCGGGAGGAAGGUGGGGAUGACGUCAAAUCAUCAUGCCCCUUAUGUCUAGGGCCACACACGUGCUACAAUGGCAAGUACAAAGAGACGCAAGACCGUGAGGUGGAGCAAAACUCAAAAACUUGUCCCAGUUCGGAUUGUAGGCUGAAACUCGCCUACAUGAAGCCGGAGUUGCUAGUAAUCGCGAAUCAGAAUGUCGCGGUGAAUACGUUCCCGGGUCUUGUACACACCGCCCGUCACACCAUGAGAGUUGGCAAUACCCGAAGUCCGUGAGCUAACCCGUAAGGGAAGCAGCGGCCGAAGGUAGGGUCAGCGAUUGGGGUGAAGUCGUAACAAGGUAAAC
Molecule: ribosomal RNA, 1497 nt
Filed under: uncultured bacterium
Lineage: Bacteria
Description: partial 16S ribosomal RNA
Rfam family: Bacterial small subunit ribosomal RNA
Source: RNAcentral